UGAGGGAAUAUUGGGUCAAUGGGCGAAAGCCUGAACCAGCCAAGUAGCGUGCAGGAUGACGGCCCUACGGGUUGUAAACUGCUUUUAGGCGGGGGUAAAGUGCCGGACGUGUUCCGGUAUUGCAAGUACCGCCAGAAAAAGGACCGGCUAAUUCCGUGCCAGCAGCCGCGGUAAUACGGAAGGUCCGGGCGUUAUCCGGAUUUAUUGGGUUUAAAGGGAGCGUAGGCCGGAGAUUAAGCGUGUUGUGAAAUGCCGCGGCUCAACCGUGGCACUGCAGCGCGAACUGGUUUUCUUGAGUGCGCGCGACGCAGGCGGAAUUCGUGGUGUAGCGGUGAAAUGCUUAGAUAUCACGAGGAACCCCGAUUGCGAAGGCAGCUUGCGGGAGCGCAACUGACGCUGAAGCUCGAAGGUGCGGGGUAUCGAACAGGAUUAGAUACCCUGGUAGU
Molecule: ribosomal RNA, 446 nt
Filed under: uncultured Prevotella sp.
Lineage: Bacteria; Pseudomonadati; Bacteroidota; Bacteroidia; Bacteroidales; Prevotellaceae
Description: bacterial SSU rRNA
Rfam family: Bacterial small subunit ribosomal RNA
Source: RNAcentral